GACUCCGCCAAGAUCUCUGGAAUCGUAUAAGCGAACGCGCCCAUCGCCAACCGUUUGUCUUCAUUCGAUCAAACUGAUCAAAACAUGACUGCUGCCCUCUUCCGGUGCGACCCAUCCGCCGGAUGUCGCGAGUGCACCCAUUCCAGCAAAAAUUCCGCAAGGAACGCAAUUUCUUUUUUGUGAGUGGAUCGAUGAGAGUUUCGAGUUUUCCAGCGAUGUUUCCGUCGUGCUAUCACCUUAGUGUGAUUGUGGUUAUGAAAAAUUGCUUUCCAACGAGUGGGAAAGGUAUUUUUGGAAUAGUGGUGGAUUUUAUUCUUUUUAUACGCGAAUAACACUUUGUCCUAUGGUGGAAGUAUCGGCUUAAACGCGUGUAAAGGUGAGUUAAUGACCUCGAAGUCGAGCUGCUGAUUCUAAUGAAGAAAUUCAUGUCGGACCGUUGAGAGAGGCGCUAGCACGCUCUUGUGAAACGAGAGAGUUCUUCUGCCGGCUAAGGACACUUUGAUGAUGUUUGCGUAUUAACUAAUGAUCCUCUCCACCUAUGUGCAUUCCCUGAUGAAGGAAAUUAUGGUUGAAAUUGAUGCGCGUGCCGCUGUUAACGAGCCGUGUGCAUCGCGUGUUGCCAUUUUUGGUUUAGGUCGACGUUACACGCGUAUUAUUCAGGUAAUUUGAAUUUCUUUGGCGAUGAUUUAAAUCUGAAUCGGCGAAGAUUAAUAAAAGAGAAGAAUAAAGGUUAAUAAAAUUUGAAAAGUAAUAUGGAACAGAUUAAGAUCCGAGGAAUAAGAAAAAAUUAUAUAAUUCCUCGAAAAUGACGUUAAGGAAUAAAUAAGUUGCAGGAAGUUAACCGCCAUUAUAAACAUUUCCUCGUUAAUCAUAACGACCGGUGCAUUGAAACAUGCUUCAUCGACCUUUGAGCAAGUUUUCUAUUAGUCGUGCUCGAGUUUUUCCACGGUUAGCAAUUCGCUCUGAAUUGCAGAUUUUCCAUUUUCUUAAUUGCAACGCGCGCUGUCACCCCUUUUUUCUUCCUAUCGUCCAGGCAAUCUGUAAUGUGUCAGGAUUACAUACCGCGAUUAGGUACUCACAUAUCGUAAAUACAUUAAUACAUUUUAUCGAUGGCUUACCUUGAUAAUUUUUUUACAAUGCAAACGGUUUAAACAAGAUUUAUUUGAGAUAUAGUCGCAUCCCGUCAGCGCAAUGUUAAGUAUAUGAAUUAAUCAUCAUAAAUUAUUAUUUUAUAAGAAUAAAUUAAUUUUUCUGUAGGUUUAAGUAAAAGCGUUGAUCUUCGCCUUACUUGAUUGAGAUACGAUUACCUGAUCACGAGAUACUAAAAGUCAUCUAACUUAUUAAAAUCUUCUUAAUAGUUACCGAAUUGCGAAUUUUAUAAGUGGGCUGUGGAUUUUUAUGCAAAUUCAUAUUUUUUUAUGAACACAACUGAAAAAUAGAAUCUACAUAGAGAU
Long non-coding RNA from Bombus terrestris (buff-tailed bumblebee), 1454 nucleotides. RefSeq lists it as uncharacterized. The record is from RefSeq and is a predicted model, not a curated record. NCBI's taxonomy places the organism in Eukaryota, Metazoa, Arthropoda, Insecta, Hymenoptera, Apidae. The transcript has 3 exons.